This 516-nucleotide ribosomal RNA is filed under the name uncultured bacterium. Its description in RNAcentral is "partial 16S ribosomal RNA". It matches the Rfam family "Bacterial small subunit ribosomal RNA", at positions 28 to 523 of the family's 1533-position model. The record is from RNAcentral.
GAUGAACGCUGGCGGCGUGCCUAAUACAUGCAAGUCGAACGCAUUGAGAGAAGUGCUUGCACUUUUCAAUUUGAGUGGCGAACGGGUGAGUAACACAUGGGCAACCUACCUGAUAGCGGGGGAUAACGAGUGGAAACAUUCGCUAAUACCGCAUAACAAUAGAGAAGGCAUCUUCUUUAUUUAAAAGGCGCUUUCAAGCGUCACUAUCAGAUGGGCCCGCGGUGCAUUAGUUAGUUGGUGGGGUGAAGGCCUACCAAGACGAUGAUGCAUAGCCAGGUUGAGAGACUGAUCGGCCACAGUGGGACUGAGACACGGCCCAAACUCCUACGGGAGGCUGCAGUAGUGAAUCUUCCACAAUGGACGAAAGUCUGAUGGAGCAACGCCGCGUGUGUGAUGAAGGCUUUCGGGUCGUAAAGCACUGUUGUAUGGGAAGAAAUGCUAGGCUAGGAAAUGAGCUUAGUUUGACGGUACCAUACCAGAAGGGGACGGCUAAAUACGUGCCAGCCGCCGCGGUAA